ACCAAAAAGACAUAAUAUAUAAGACAAAUAUUCAUGAUUAUAUUGUAUAACGACGACUAAUUUAAUAGUGUAUACAUACCUUUAGAAACCUGCAUAAAUUGAAAUUAAAGGUACAGACAAAGAAGAAGCUUAUAAGAAAUCAACCUUUCUAACUUGUUGUUUAAUUACUGGCUAAUUACCUAUUUGAAAUGGGGUUUGGACCACUAGGAACUUCAUGAGCACUAGCAUUCAAUAAUUUGUCUCUCCAUAAGUAGGAUGGCGAUUGAUGAGCUUUAGGGUACUCAUGUUUACCUCUUCUACCCAUAAUUGGAGAAUAUUGAACUUUUUUACUAGCAAUUUGAUCUUCUCUCAGUUUCUUCUUGACAGCAUAAUGAUCUACUGAUGAAUGAUAAUUAACUCGUAAAAGAUUCGGUUGUAGUUGUCCGUCUUCUGCCAUAACAGUGAGAAGUAGAAAGAAGAAGAGAGUAAGUAGUGAGGCAAUAUUGUAAGGAGAAAUGAAAGAAGAAGAAGUAGUAGUCAUUUUACAGGAGAGAAGCUAGAAAGCCAUCCUUAACCAUAAACAAGUACAAAAAUACAAGAAGAUCAACUAUUCAACACUAGAUGUCUUCGACGAACAAAGAUAUUGCAUGUGUGGGCUUUAUUGUUGAUAACAAGAGGGGCUAACCAUGUGAAAACCCUAAAAAAAAGAAAGCAGAACUAGCUAGCUUAAACUAGUUUGAAAAAUUAGGGAUGUAACUUUAGGAGAUGUAGUUCAAAGAUAAAACGCAUGGAGAAAGAAAGAGGAAAUAAAAGAGAGAGAAAAAAGAGAAUCUUGAAAGAGAUAAAGUGGGAAAGGGAG
Molecule: long non-coding RNA, 838 nt
Filed under: Nicotiana tabacum (common tobacco)
Lineage: Eukaryota; Viridiplantae; Streptophyta; Magnoliopsida; Solanales; Solanaceae
Description: long non-coding RNA (NTAB_LNC007848)
Source: RNAcentral